GGGAGCAUGCGGUUCUUAUAUAAUUCACUUUUAUUGCCUCACAAGAACUAUUGUUGGUCAUGUUUAUGAUGCUUUAGCGCUAGAAAAUACAGUUGUCUUGAUAUUACAAUGUUUAACCUGCUAGUGUAUUUUACGAUUCACAUUAUAGACAUAAUACUACUCUAUAGAGAUUCCCUAAAAAUUAUGUUGGUUUAGACACACUAGUCAUCAACCCGUGCGGGCUAGCUUAAACUCCAAUAGCUCAUGAUGUAUUGUGCUACUGUUUUUCAGGGUUAGCCUUAUGGUAAAGUAAAAUUUUGAAGAGACAAAAUGGACAAGGAAGACAAGCAUCGCCUCUGCUCCAGUCUAGUACAGGCCACGAACAGGCUGCCAUGGGCCACAAUCAACAACGCAAGCGAAACAAAAAAUAGGCCAUGUACAAAGCUGUUGACGUGAUGCUAGAAAGAUCCAUUGGAUGAGGACGUGAAUGAGACUAAAUUAAAUCUCAGCUAGCUUAGUUUUAGCAAACCUGUAGAUACAUUUAUAUUCAAAGCCAGGAAAAUGUAAUCUUCAUGUCAUACCGAUAAAAAUGUAAUUUCUGAUCUAUUUCUAUGCAAAGCAUAAUCAAGAGAGUAUGGUCAAGAAGCCACAAAUGUGGGCAUGAAGGUCUGCUUUCAAGAAUUUCCACCUAAUAUUCAAAUUCAGGUAAGACCCACAUGUUUCUUUUGUACUAUAUAUUAUACGUCACCACAAGUCUCCAUAUGUAUCAAUAAGUUGUACUGAACCCUGGUAGUAGGAUGGGUGUUGGUUGGAAAGCAGAAUAUCUUUUUUUCUCAGUACAGUACAGUUUUCAGUUUCCACAACUUAUAACAAUGAGCCUUGCCAGUUUUGUGUUAACUUAUGUUGAAUAUGUGAACCCGAAUGUUAAUUUAUGAUUUGUUUUUAAUAUAUACUCAAUUACUCUUACAAAUAAAUGAAGAUGAUCUUGAACUUUCGAAGACAACUAAUAGUAAUUUAUUUUUAUUCUCUUUGCUUAACUCAUGGGCUGCAAGACUAUGCUCUCAAGGUCAACAAUCACAGGCUCAGCCAUGCCUUCAUGAUCACUCUCACCAAGUGCACACAUGAGGUCCGGUUUUGGGUUUAUUUGAAAUAUGACAUGUGAUUGACCACCUCUCUCUCUCUCUCUCUUCCUCCCUGCCUCCUCCUCCUCUCUNNNNNNNNNNNNNNNNNNNNNNNNNNNNNNNNNNNNNNNNNNNNNNNNNNNNNNNNNNNNNNNNNNNNNNNNNNNNNNNNNNNNNNNNNNNNNNNNNNNNCGUUAACGUAACCUAACGUUACGGUUACGUAGUUACACCUACCUCCUCUCUCUCUCUCUCUCCUCCCUCGCCUCCCUCCCUCCCUCCUCUCUCCUCCUCUCUCUCUCUCUCUAAUUCAACUAAAGAUCACCAGUCUUGGCAUCUAGAAUUCAGGAUACAGAACUCAUAAUUUUGUAAGGCCCACCAUUAACCAAGUUGCUUCAUCUUGAAUGCCCACAUCCGUCAUGUACUUGCACUCUGAAAACCGUAGCUGCGGCAUAAUCCACAGUAAUCGACUCCAUUUUGAGCAUACAACAUGUUUGUAGUUUGAUGUCUUUAGUAGUUUACAUACGAAAGAAUUCUUUGUUUGCAAAUGGAACUAUGAAUAAUUUAUUGCAGCAUCGCUAGUUAUUAAUCUAGCUUGUAUAUUCAUUAAGGUGCAACUUCCUAAUCCUAUUUGAUCUGGGGGACUAACUCACAUGCUCAUACUUAGCCCACAGAUUACCCCUGAUCAAAUGGAAGAUGUGGAUCGCCGACCAACUAUUAGGAUUUUUUUUAUAAGGCAAUUGUGUGAUAUCUGACAUCUACUUUUUGAACUCAAAUGUGUCAACUAUUUUAUCUGGAUUUCCGCACAAUGUAUUUUAGCUUUUAUUCGAUUAACAUUUUCAUAUAUAUUGUAUGCUGCACUCUAUAUGUAUUUUAUUUGAUUUUUGUCUUCUCUUAUGAAGAAAAUGGUUCUUGCUUCCCAGCUAACUAUGAGUAUAAAUGCCUGUGAACUAUGAGGCAUUAUUUUCUUCUUACAAGAAGAAACUAUUUCCAUUUUUCAGGUUAUGCCUUGCCUGCAAUGAGUGCAUUAUGUUGAAUUGGUGCUUAAUUGGCAUAGUAAGAAUUGAAAGUGUUAUGAAGUGCAACAAAUUCUUUUUGCUGCUGGUCUUAUUUCUAGAAUUCUACUACAGCUUUAUCUAAGUAGGUGGGGAUAACCAAACCUUAAAUUUCUUGUUUACUUCUGGUAGGUGAUGGGACAACUACGAGGGGCAAUCGCCCACCUGAACGAUUAUAUUGAUCAAAAUUUUGGACAUUACAUGCUCGGUCAUAGUAGGCCAUAUAGAGGUACAGAAAACAUAGGGACACACAACGACACACACCAAUGUACAAGGGGAAUACAAGCUAGGCAAGGCGAGGCUCACGCAACCCAUAGUGUGAAAUAGCUAACUUGUGAUUCGAUGGAUGCUGGUGGAUAUCUUUUAGGCAUGAGGUAAAAAUGGUCAAUAUCAGUCACGGUCUGGCUAGCGGCUGCAACCUCCAGAAGACAUGCUUGCAGGUAUGGCGUUAGGUGGAUGAGCGCAAAUUGAGAAUAACAACAGUGAAAUAAUAGUUGAAUGCAUGAUGCAUCAGAACAACGAAUGUAGGUUUCACCACAACUUUUAUCUCGGGAUGUAAACAAUAUUGUUAGAUGAUUUUGUAGCUGGUACUAUCACCGCAUAGAAAAAUAGGCCUCUUUUCUGCUCCCCACCUCCCAUUAUAUUGAGAUACAGAGCUAGCUCAAAAUUAGGUUUAUUUAUCUUUCGUUUUUUCCUUUGAAGAUACUGAGGAAAAAAAACAAGCAUUUAUUUGCUAUUCCGUGGCAAUGCACGGGCAUUCAGCUAGUUAAUAAAAAUGACAAAUCUUUUGCCGUGUUUCUUUAAAAGGAGUCCCAGACCAAACCGUCAUUUAUCUUUCAAAGUACCAUCACUACGUCGGCCGGUUACUCCUCUGCAUCAAUCAACUUGGAAACUGAUUUGCUUGGAAGGCCAAAAAGAAGACAAAAAAAUGCGUCUGCCGGGAGUCGAACCCGGGUCUAUUGCUUGGAAGGCAAUUAUCCUAACCGUUGGACUACAGACGCUUUGACUUGCUAAUUUUCGUAACGCGUGUUAUUUCUAAAAGAAUUUGUAAAAUCAGAAAGCAAGUGAUGGACAUUAUUCAGUGCCCUUUCAUAUUACGCGUUGCUGCAGAAAAUUUGUUAACAAAGGACAAGUGUUAAACAUACUAGACAAUGCCCCGCGCGUUGCCGCAGAAAACUUGUUAAUUUUUUUAUGAAUGAAUGUUAGAAAACUAAUGUUAAUGCAAAAACCGUUAUAAAAAUAUCUUCCUUAAUUAUCUAGAAAAAAAUUCAUGCAUGAGGGUAUGUUUUGCAUGAAAAGAUUAAUGAAAAAAGUAACUUAUGAGUACAUACAUGAGUUGAUGAUAUGACAUUGUUGCAUGGAGAGGAAAAUUAGGUAGUGGUUCUAGCUAUUUAAGAAUAAAAGAUGGCACCGUCUCUUCCAUCACCUCAGUCUUCUAGCCAACUCAAAAAGAAAUACUUAGGACCAGUUUUUUUGGUGGCUUUUUUUAGCUUUUGAAAUAAGUUGUCCCUUACCCAGCUUAUUCUAGAAGCCCAACCAAAAAUAUUUUGCUUAGAAGCCUACUAGUCAAGUCUUAAAUAGUGUCAUUUGCUUGGAAGGCAAAGAAGACAAAAAAAUGCGUCUGCCGAGAGUCAAACCCGGGUCUAUUGCUUGGAAGGCAAUUAUCCUAACCGUUGGACUACAGACGCUUUGACUUGCUAAUUUCAAUAAUGCAUCUGAUGGACAUUACGUCGUGCACUUUCAUAUUACGCGUUGCUCCAGAAAAUUUGUUAAAAAAAUUAUGGAUGAAUGUACCGCCUCUCCCAUCAACUUAGUCUUCUAGGCAACUCAAAAAGAAAUACUUAUUCUUCUAUGCAACUUAAAAAAGAAAUACUUAGUCUUCUACGCAGCUCAAAAGAGAAAUCCUUAGUCUUCUAGUGGUGGACUUCAUUAAAGUACUAUCAUGAGCAUGUUAGAGCUACUACCUCCAUCCGAGUGUGUAAGUCAUUCACGUAAUUCUAGAUCGAUAAUUUAACUAUCUAAAUAUAUAUUAUAUAUGAUAAAAAUAUAUUUAGAAACUACAUCUGCAUAGAAAUCUAAUGAUAUAUUUUUCAUGACAUAUAAUACAUAUUUAAUUCUUUAAAUUGAUGACCUAAAACUACAUGUAUGACUUAUACACCGGAACGGAGGAAGUAGUCUCUUUUGCAAGUAGUCAGAACGCAAAACCAUUGGCCACAUCAAAGUGCUAACUGGCCAAAAAGAAAUAAAGGCUCCGGACAUUACGUUUUCUCCAUAUCCCGUCGCCGCCAAUCUACCUUGUCUCAUGUGGUCUUAGGGCCAUGGAGCCGUGGUGGAUCCCGAGACUUGCCGGUGAGAGGACCCAUGCUUCAUUUUUAGGUGUUUUUAAGUAUUUUUAGGGUUUGUGUCUUGAUUAGAUAGGCGAGGUGGCGGCUACUCCUUGAAGAUGAAAUAAGAUUCUUGUUUUCCUACUUGACUUUGUACCAGAUAAAAUACUUCACAGUAAUAGGUUUACAUGCAGCAGAGGAUGACGCCACGGGGGUAUUCCGUCCAUUUAGAAACAAAAUUGUACCGUACUAUAGCAUUCCGCAUCGUGAGUGUAAAUGUCUCACAUGGAGUGGUGUGAUCUUUCCCAGCAAGAAAUUCUUGAGAUGCAUGGAUAACUCUAUUCAGAAUGCAAUAUUGCAACCCUCUUAGACAUAUUUUUUGAAAGCAUGGUGAGGAAUCUCACACUGCAACUCACCCGAAAUCAUAUACUAGAAAAUCAUGGCAUCUACAUUGCUGGAGAAAAGUUGAAGCACAACCCAGCAUUCUGCAUUGGCCUCUACAAUAGUUUAACCACAUUAUGAGCAGGGUGUAGUGUGGUGGCAAAUAUUUUGAACAAAGAUGGGCAAUGUCCUAGCCAAGUCCAAACACGUAGUUCGACCCAAAACAAUGAUCUCACACACACCAUGCCCCCGAACUAGGGGCUACAUUCAGCCUAGCAUGGAACAAAAACGUCUAAGGAGAAGCAUGAUCAGACCAGAAAGUACACAACAAGUUUCCCGUGUCGCUCAAUCCCACAGGAUGCUAUUAGGCUCCCAUCCAAACACCAGGAAACUGCUUUGUCUCUAUUUUCUCCUCUCUUCAACUUUGCAACAUCUCUAGGGGCUAUUGUCAUGUUUAUUCUAUGCUAAUGCGUCUACCUUUGAUAACAUGGUUUGUCUAGAUGCACAUCUAGGCUCUUUAUAAUUUAUUUUAUCAUUUUGGCACUACUAUAAUAAUGGUCUAAUAAAGAAUAUGUACACAUGAUUUAUUGCCUCUAUGAGGGAGCAUGCGGUUCUUAUAUAAUUCACUUUUAUUGGCUGACAAGAACUUUUAUUGGGCUAGAACCGGGACUAAAGGCCCUUUUUGACAGGCCGAGAGGCGGGAAGCGAGGGUCUUUAGUCCCGUGUUGGGGCUAGAACCGGGACUAAAUACCCUUAGUCCCGGUUCUAGCCCAAACCCGGGACUAAAGGCCUCAGGCUGGCACCGGCGCAGGACAUGGCAAUGUUUAGUCCCUCCUCGCCAUGCGAGCGGUGCUCGCAGUGCUUUAUAAGCACCGCUGCGCCAACUCUUUCGAGCUCCUCUCUAAAGCAGACUUAUGGGCCUAAACGCACUCUCUCCCCAAAAUUUAAAAUAGAUGUGAAUUUAAAGACAAAUUCAACCUAAAUUCAAAGUGCUAACUCACUUUGNNNNNNNNNNNNNNNNNNNNNNNNNNNNNNNNNNNNNNNNNNNNNNNNNNNNNNNNNNNNNNNNNNNNNNNNNNNNNNNNNNNNNNNNNNNNNNNNNNNNAGGGAGCAUGCGGUUCUUAUAUAAUUCACUUUUAUUGCCUCACAAGAACUAUUGUUGGUCAUGUUUAUGAUGCUUUAGCGCUAGGAAAUACAGUUGUCUUGAUAUUACAAUGUAUAACCUGCUACUGUAUUUUACGAUUCACAUUAUAGACAUAAUACUACUCUAUACAGAUUCCCUAAAAAUUAUGUUGGUUUAGACACACUAGUCAUCAACCCGUGCGGGCUCGCUUAAACUCCAAUAGCUCAUGAUGUAUUGUGCUACUGUUUUUCAGGGUAAGCCUUAUGGUAAAGUAAAAUUCUGAAGAGACAAAAUGGACAAGGAAGACAAGCAUCGCCUCUGCUCCAGUCCAGUACAGGCCACGAACGGGCUACCAGGGCCACAAUCAACAACGCAAGCGAAACAAAAAAUAGGCCGUGUACAAAGCUGUUGACUGAAAAAACAAAUCGUGAUACUAGAAAGAUCCAACAGAUGAGGAUGUGAUUGAUACCAAAUUAAAUCUCAGCUAACUGAGUUUUAGCAAAACUGUAGAUACAUUUAUAUUCAAAGCCAGGAAAAUGUAAUCUUCAUGUCAUACCGAUAAAAUGUAAUUUAUGAUCUAUUUAUAUGCAGAGCAUAAUCAAGAGAGUAUGGUCAAGAAGCCACAAAUGUGGGCAUGAAGGUCUGCUUUCAAGAAUUUCCACCUAACAUUCAGAUUCAGGUAAGACCCACAUGUUUCUUUGGUACUAUAUAUUAUACGUCACCACAAGUCUCCAUAUGUAUCAAUAAGUUGAACUGAAACCCUGGUAGUAGGAUGGGUGUUGGGUGGAAAGCAUAAUAUCUU
RNAcentral lists this long non-coding RNA (6782 nucleotides) under Hordeum vulgare. RNAcentral describes it as "long non-coding RNA (HVUL_LNC017527)". The record is from RNAcentral. Lineage: Eukaryota; Viridiplantae; Streptophyta; Magnoliopsida; Poales; Poaceae.